Molecule: long non-coding RNA, 525 nt
Filed under: Chloebia gouldiae (Gouldian finch)
Lineage: Eukaryota; Metazoa; Chordata; Aves; Passeriformes; Passeridae
Description: Erythrura gouldiae (Gouldian finch) lncRNA (ENSEGOG00005003469.1)
Source: RNAcentral
CAACACAGUGCACAUCUUGCGCUGAGAACUUGACAGACAUUGUUGCAAGAAAGAUAACUCCUUCUGAUUUAUUAUCUCUUGCUGAUGAAGAUGUUCAAAAUAUUGUCCCCAGCACUUCUAAGUAACAGCACUUGUGAUUGUCUGCCAGUUAAGAAGCCUCUCAUCAUGAGCAGAUGCAGAGAAGAAAGUUAAAGACCUGCUACAAAAGUUCAGAAUUUAUCUUCCCUUUAAGUUCACGCCAGGAGCAAGUAAUAUGCUCUUCUGGCAGAAAAGAACUAGAACAAUGCAAUGGCUUCCACUACUUAUGUAUUUUGGGAAAGUAGGUCUUGUGGAAGUGACAAACUGGGAAGUUUUAUGGUCAAAACAAAUAUCUGUAAUUCUCUCCUGAGGCCGGCUUAUAACCCCUGACUCUGAAUGCCUCCUAAGUGAAUAUAUCUGGAGUAUGCUUAGUACAUUACUUAAUUAUCUGAAAUGCUAAGCACAAAAACUAAAAUUGCUAUCUCAGAGCAAGAAAGGAAAACAAGG